Molecule: ribosomal RNA, 492 nt
Filed under: uncultured bacterium
Lineage: Bacteria
Description: partial 16S ribosomal RNA
Rfam family: Bacterial small subunit ribosomal RNA
Source: RNAcentral
AUUGAACGCUGGCGGCAUGCUUUACACAUGCAAGUCGAACGGUAACAGGCCUUCGGGUGCUGACGAGUGGCGAACGGGUGAGUAAUGCAUCGGAACGUGCCCAGAGGUGGGGGAUAACGCAGCGAAAGCUGUGCUAAUACCGCAUGUGAUCUGAGGAUGAAAGCGGGGGACCAGGCAGCAAUGUUUGGCCUCGCGCCUUUGGAGCGGCCGAUGUCAGAUUAGGUAGUUGGUGGGGGAAAGGCCUACCAAGCCGACGAUCUGUAGCUGGUCUGAGAGGACGACCAGCCACACUGGGACUGAGACACGGCCCAGACUCCUACGGGAGGCAGCAGUGGGGAAUUUUGGACAAUGGGCGCAAGCCUGAUCCAGCAAUGCCGCGUGCGGGAAGAAGGCCUUCGGGUUGUAAACCGCUUUUGUACGGAACGAAAAGGCUCUGGCUAAUACCUGGGGCUGAUGACGGUACCGUAAGAAUAAGCACCGGCUAACUACGUG